AAGUCGAGCGGAAAGGCCCUUUCGGGGGUACUCGAGCGGCGAACGGGUGAGUAACACGUGAGUAAUCUGCCCUUGGCUUCGGGAUAGCCACCGGAAACGGUGAUUAAUACCGGAUACGACACAUCACUGCAUGGUGCGUGUGUGGAAAGUUUUUUCGGCCAGGGAUGUGCUCGCGGCCUAUCAGCUUGUUGGUGGGGUAAUGGCCUACCAAGGCUUCGACGGGUAGCCGGCCUGAGAGGGUGACCGGCCACACUGGGACUGAGACACGGCCCAGACUCCUACGGGAGGCAGCAGUGGGGAAUAUUGGACAAUGGGCGGAAGCCUGAUCCAGCAACGCCGCGUGAGGGAUGACGGCCUUCGGGUUGUAAACCUCUUUCAGCACAGACGAAGCGCAAGUGACGGUAUGUGCAGAAGAAGGACCGGCCAACUACGUGCCAGCAGCCGCGGUAAUACGUAGGGUCCGAGCGUUGUCCGGAAUUAUUGGGCGUAAAGGGCUCGUAGGCGGUUUGUCGCGUCGGGAGUGAAAACACCGGGCUUAACUCGGUGCUUACUUUCGAUACGGGCAGACUAGAAGUAUUCAGGGGAGAACGGAAUUCCUGGUGUAGCGGUGAAAUGCGCAGAUAUCAGGAGGAACACCGGUGGCGAAGGCGGUUCUCUGGGAAUAUCCUGACGCUGAGGAGCGAAAGUGUGGGGAGCGAACAGG
This 703-nucleotide ribosomal RNA is filed under the name uncultured Actinomycetes bacterium. Its description in RNAcentral is "bacterial SSU rRNA". It matches the Rfam family "Bacterial small subunit ribosomal RNA", at positions 59 to 776 of the family's 1533-position model. The record is from RNAcentral. Lineage: Bacteria; Bacillati; Actinomycetota; Actinomycetes.